RNAcentral lists this ribosomal RNA (255 nucleotides) under uncultured bacterium. Its description in RNAcentral is "partial 16S ribosomal RNA". It matches the Rfam family "Bacterial small subunit ribosomal RNA", at positions 524 to 776 of the family's 1533-position model. The record is from RNAcentral.
UACGGAAGGGGGCAAGCGUUGUUCGGAAUCAUUGGGCGUAAAGGGCGCGUAGGUGGUUCUGUAUGUCUACCGUGAAAGCAUACAGCUCAACUGUAUUUUGUCGGUAGAAACUGCAGGACUUGAGGCUGGGAGGGGCUGGUGGAAUUCCCUGUGUAGCGGUGAAAUGCGUAGAGAUGGGGGGAGAACACUCGUGGCGAAGGCGGCCAGCUAGACCAGUUCUGACACUGAGGCGCGACAGCGUGGGGAGCAAACAGG